GGGGUUGUAGCUCAGUGGUUCAGUGCUUGCCUCUGCAUGCAGGAGGCACUGGGUUCAAUCCUCAGCACUACA
RNAcentral lists this transfer RNA (72 nucleotides) under Marmota monax (woodchuck). Its description in RNAcentral is "tRNA.Undet". Lineage: Eukaryota; Metazoa; Chordata; Mammalia; Rodentia; Sciuridae. The record is from RNAcentral.